AAUUUGUGGUUGCACAUUAAAGUAGAUAAAACAGUGGGUUAUUAAACUAUUGACGUAUAUUAAUUGGCGUAUGAUGUUGUAUAUUAUAGUUAUUAAAAAUAAUUAAAUUUAUUUAAACAACGUGACAGCAUAUUUUAAUUACAGAUAUGGCAUACUAAUUACAUAAAUUACACAAAUAAUGUUUGAAUAAAAUGUGAUAUACGAAUAAUAUUGUAAUUAUUUGUUCGAAAAUUAUUUUUUAGCUGAUAGAUUUUUUUUCAGUCACUUAUUAUAUAAAUAACAACACCACAAUAGGUGGAAUCUGUUAGAAUAUCUAAGAAUACUGACAUUCGUAUUUACAAAUUUUUAUCACGGUUGUUUUUCAAAAAUAUUAAUACAAGAAAUAUUAUUAAAUUAAAUAAACAAGUUACUUAAACUGCACAGAUAUAAAAUAAAUAAAUAAAUAAAUGAAUUUUUUUAAUAUUACUAACCAAUGGUUAAUCGAGUCAAAAAGUAGGUAUUAUAAUACCAUAUUAAACGCCGAGUGCAAUUAAAAAUCAUAAUAUAGGGACAAUAUUUCUCUUACUAGGUAGGUUAAAUCAAUAUAAAAAUGUUAGUGUUGUGGUAACAAAGUAAGCUGUUUUUAAACUUGUAACUUUAUUUAAUUUGUAAUAUAUAAUAUGUAAACAUAUUAAUAAUUAAUUUUUCUUUGCAGAAAUACACAAAACUAAGUUUAAAUCUUAAAUAGUUGUACAGUAUGGAUUAUGAAACAUUCGAAUUUUCUUCUGAAGUCAAUACUAAUGUAACUAAUGUACCAAUAAUUAUUAACGCCACUUCCUUCUUUACGCGAGGAUACCGUGUCGCUGCAACAAAAAUACGGCCUGUUGACAUCGACCACGAUCGCUCUAAUAACUUUUGUUUAUAUAAAUGUGUGUAUAUUUGAUGAAAACAUAUUGUACAAAUUUUUUCACAAUCGAACUUAGUACAGCACAUUGAAAUAAAUAUAGAGAAAUAAAUUAAAUAGAAAUAAAAAUACCUAAUAAUAAUUUUCAUUUGCUGAUUAUAAUUUUUAGUUAAGUAUUUUAAAAACCUAUUAUUAUUUCUUAUAAUUUACUAAUAAUGACACCGGAUAGAAUAAAAUAUAAUAUUAUAUAUCCUAUAUUAUGUAGGUACCUAUAAUUAUUUGUGUGAACAGUGAUAAAAUAGAUAUUAAUUAUCGUUUCUGUCACUAUUUUUUCGAGAAAAUAACCAUAUUUUAGUUUUUGUUUUAAAUACAUUUUUUAAAUUUAAUAUAUAUUAUAUUAUUAUUUAUUAUGUAUAUACCCCAUCUUCAUUAUUUCCGAGGUUGAUAAUCUGUCGGUAUUAGAUCAGGUCAUGGCCUGAUUGGCCUGGCCCGUAGUUUCACCUACAUCUACCUACUAAUAAAAUUAUAAGACUUUACAUAAGUAUCAAUGUAGCUAUUAUAAAUCAAUUUAUGGUUGAAAAUUGUUUAAUAAUAAUAAUAAGGAUACAUUUUAAAUAAACCAAAAAGUAACACGGAGAUAAUAUAUAUAUUUUUUAAAUAAAUAAAUUUUAUUACUCACUUAUAUUUGAUGGAAGUUUUUAUUUUAUCCUGACGACGGCAAUGACGAUACUGAUUGAAA
This is a long non-coding RNA of Aphis gossypii (cotton aphid), 1622 nucleotides long. RefSeq lists it as uncharacterized. The record is from RefSeq and is a predicted model, not a curated record. NCBI's taxonomy places the organism in Eukaryota, Metazoa, Arthropoda, Insecta, Hemiptera, Aphididae. The transcript has 2 exons.